AUGCAAGUGUUUAACAGAUGCUUCACUAUUAAAAUAUUUUCCCCCCAAGUCUCAAAUAUUGAAGAAUCUCUAACCAGGGACACCAGUCCCAACGAAGACCUUGGGCGAUUUCAAAGUGCGGGCACCUCGAUUCCCCGAAUCUGUAGUGUGGCUGGUAUCGGUGUUUCCCUGGUUUAACUAGCCUGCUUGAAGGCGCAGAUCAUUCAUGGGGAAGUAAAACCGAAACCAGUCCUCUCCACCCCCUGCGGGUCUUCACUUUCCCAGUCUACAUCUGCCUGUGACUCCAGAAAGACAAACUGCAGAUUGGCCAAGAUGGGGAAAUUGAGGCACAGAAGCCAAGACAUGCGCUAAAGGUCAUGCGGGCUAUGAAUGGAGCUGGAAUGUGAAUGCAGGCCAUGUGACUCCAGAGCCCAUGUUCUUGAACCCUUAGAAAGACAGCAGCAACACACCUGGUGCAGCAGCUGCUUAGUUGGAGUGGCUGACAAGGAGAGAAUGAUUUCCAGGAAGAGCGGGACACAUA
Molecule: non-coding RNA, 520 nt
Filed under: Pongo abelii (Sumatran orangutan)
Lineage: Eukaryota; Metazoa; Chordata; Mammalia; Primates; Hominidae
Source: RNAcentral